GCUGGCCAUGCUGCCCUGGUCAGCUUCCCGCACAGACAGCCUCCUGUCACUUCACCUUGACUCUGCCUGUCCCUUUGCCUUAUUGGGACGUCCUGCCUUUGACAGCCACUGCUGCUCCUCACCCUGAAUGAGGAAGUAGGGCUGAGACUCAGCCGGCGAAAACGGCGCAGACCUCCAGAGGCCGGCAGCACUGGCGGCGAUAACCCGGAGCUGCGGAGACCUGGGCACGCCUGCUCCUGUUGAAGAUUGGAUCUGCAAGUACUCGUGGCGUAUCCUGGCGCCGCAACUGUAGGGGGUGGUUUGCUGCUUGCUCGGGUCGACCAGCAUCUCCCCGCGUUCUUCCAUCCCCGGGGUCUCGGAGCGAGCAGGGAAAACGUUUUCUGCGCCGGAGUGCCUGUGGCUCGGCGGCCAGGCUCAUGGAUCAUCGUUGGGGGCGUUCGUCUACCAUCCGCGGUCCUCUUGCUCCAUGCUCUGGGGCUUAGCCAGCCCGACCGAGUCAGUGCGCGGAGAGCUCGUUGGCGGGCGCGCCUGGGCUCUGUCUCCGGGCCUGGACGCGUUCUGAUCCCGCUGGACUUGAACCGUCAGGCUUGCGUGGCGAGAACGGGCCGUAUCUCUAGAACCCUGACGGCGAUCCGAACGUUUCCUCCGACCGUGGGGCCGCCUGGGGUACCGAUUGCGGCCUGAAAGUGAUGGUGCCCUGAACGUUGUCCUGGGGCCACAUUUUCCGGUUUUCCCGCCUCGGCUGGGAGUGGCCGUAUGUCUCCGACGGCGGACGUCUCAUGGUUCGGGCCGGCCAUCCCUGGAUCCCGGGCGUCCAACCCCGGAGUGGGGCCUGGCCCGACGCGCGGAACAAGGCGUCGCUGGGCUGCGCGGCCGGCCCUCCCCGCGGCACCGCUAUUCCCGGGCUCGGAUCUCCCGGCACCACGUCCUCGCCGCCUGGAGGCCCAGGUCCGCACCAGGGCCCGGGCGGCCGCUGUCGUGUCACCAUGGUCUGCGAUCGUCCGAGGCUGGGCUGCGUCUUCGCGGGGUUGCCUGUAGUCUCUUUUCACCUUGCGGACUCGGCAUUUGUGUGGACCACACGCGGGUCCCUCGCCGCGGUGACAACAGGGAACGCGGCAGGCGAGCAAGGAGGUCGCCUGAUGCGCGGUUCUAGUCCUGCCCGGGCUCGGUGGUCAGAGGCGCCCAACAAAUUGAGACAAAGUGGCCGGGGCCGUGCGGUGAGGGUAGCAAGGAGACGCGAGCCUGGGGCGGUUUGUAGUCCUAAAAGAGCCACUGAACACGCGCUGAGGGGAGAGAAAUGCAACCUGCGGCGAACUCGGAGGAAGCGACUGCGUAGUGGUGGUGCUCUGCUUUCUCCGCCCUGCGAUCCGAUUUUCUCCGCUGGCGUUCACGCUGUUUGGCUGGGGCUGGGCGGUCACCGCCGACAGGUCGACCAGAUGGCCAGACAACUUUGGUGCUUUAAAAUUUGUCCUAGUGUGAAUUUUGGUGGAUGACAGAUACUGAAAUCCACAUUGAUGGAAAUUACUAUUAUCCUUGUCACUCGACGUUACCAUCAUCCCACAAAAUAGCUAACUGUUCAAUUGAAGAUGACCAAAGAGGAGUUUCAGUAUGACCACUAAAAGCAGAGGAAACUCUCUACAACCCCUGAGGCCCUGUCCCAUGCCCCGCAGCAACCAUUCUGGAAAUCCAGACCCCACCCAAACUUGGCAGCAAUAGGCCUCAAGGUGCGGUCUUGGCCAGUGACUGAUUAGAAACAAAUCGGCGGGAAUAUGUUCCUCUAAGCAAGCCCCGUGGGCGCCCCUGUUCCUGUCACCCUGCCUCCAGCUUCCCUACAUCACAAGCUCUGAGCAGGACGUGCCUUCCUGUUUUGCUACACUCUUAAGCGUACCCCUAGCCUCAGCCUAACGCAAGUGGUGCUGGCUGACCCCUUACAAUGCAAAUAGUAGCUGCUCAAUGCACUUACUGAUUUGUAUUUUUAAAUAUUCAUAAACCUGAUAAUGGAAGGAUAAUGUUGAGUUAGGAACAUGUGUGACAUUGUUAACAAUUUCCUUAGUAUUCAGACAUUAAAUGUAGGGCUCCUUAUAACGUUUCCAUCCUAAAACUAAAGCUAUUGAAGGAGGGGAGAGAAGCUCAAGAAGCAAGUGAUAUACAAAUAUAUACAUAUAUAUAAUUAUUGGCUAAUUUGCAUGGUUGUAUGGCAGAAACCAACACAAAAUGGUAAAACAAUUUCCACCAAUUAAAAAAAAUUUAAAAGAGUACGAAAGCUAUUCGAAUGCUUUUUGUAUGCAAACAUAUUGCCACAUUAAUUUUUUCACUUUAGUAGGAUUCUAAAAUUGGAAUGACAAGAGGUUUAUUGACAUCUUUUAAAAAUUGCUUUCUAGAAACAUCCAUUUAUGUAUGUGUGUACUGCACACUAGCCUUCAUUUAAUUGCCA
This is a long non-coding RNA of Bos taurus (domestic cattle), 2434 nucleotides long. NCBI's taxonomy places the organism in Eukaryota, Metazoa, Chordata, Mammalia, Artiodactyla, Bovidae. The record is from Ensembl.